This 396-nucleotide ribosomal RNA is filed under the name uncultured bacterium. RNAcentral describes it as "partial 16S ribosomal RNA". It matches the Rfam family "Bacterial small subunit ribosomal RNA", at positions 360 to 774 of the family's 1533-position model. The record is from RNAcentral.
AAUAUUGCACAAUGGGGGAAACCCUGAUGCAGCAACGCCGCGUGAGCGAUGAAGGCCUUCGGGUCGUAAAGCUCUGUCCUAAGGGAAGAUAAUGAAGGUUCCUUAGGAGGAAGCCCCGGCUGACUACGUCCCAGCAGCCGCGGUAAUAAGUAGGGGGCAAGCGUUAUCCGGAAUCAUUGGGCGUAAAGGGUGCGUAGGCUGCCCUAUAGGUCAGAGGUCAAAGGCUACGGCUAAACCGUAGUAAGCCUUCGAAACUGUAGGGCUUGAGUGCAGGAGAGGAGAGUGGAAUUCCUAGUGUAGCGGUGAAAUGCGUAGAUAUUAGGAGGAACACCAGUGGCGAAGGCGACUCUCUGGACUGCAACUGACGCUGAGGCACGAAAGCGUGGGUAGCGAACA